UACGAAGGGGGCUAGCGUUGCUCGGAAUCACUGGGCGUAAAGGGUGCGUAGGCGGGUCUUUAAGUCAGGGGUGAAAUCCUGGAGCUCAACUCCAGAACUGCCUUUGAUACUGAAGAUCUUGAGUUCGGGAGAGGUGAGUGGAACUGCGAGUGUAGAGGUGAAAUUCGUAGAUAUUGCGUAGAACACCAGUGGCGAAGGCGGCCACCUGGGAAGCGACUGACGCUGAGACGCGAAAGCGUGGGGAUCAAACAGG
RNAcentral lists this ribosomal RNA (253 nucleotides) under uncultured bacterium. Its description in RNAcentral is "partial 16S ribosomal RNA". It matches the Rfam family "Bacterial small subunit ribosomal RNA", at positions 524 to 776 of the family's 1533-position model. The record is from RNAcentral.